GCCCCCAUCGUCUAGAGGCCCAGGACAUCGCCCUUUCACGGCGGCGACAGGGGUUCGAAUCCCCUUGGGGGUGCCA
This 76-nucleotide transfer RNA is filed under the name Bacillota bacterium. Its description in RNAcentral is "tRNA-Glu". It matches the Rfam family "tRNA". From Rfam's summary of the family: Transfer RNA (tRNA) molecules are approximately 80 nucleotides in length. Their secondary structure includes four short double-helical elements and three loops (D, anti-codon, and T loops). The record is from RNAcentral. Lineage: Bacteria; Bacillati; Bacillota.